UACGGAGGGAGCUAGCGUUGUUCGGAAUUACUGGGCGUAAAGCGCACGUAGGCGGCGAUUCAAGUCAGGGGUGAAAGCCCGGGGCUCAACCCCGGAACUGCCCUUGAAACUAGAUUGCUAGAAUCCCGGAGAGGCGAGUGGAAUUCCGAGUGUAGAGGUGAAAUUCGUAGAUAUUCGGAAGAACACCAGUGGCGAAGGCGACUCGCUGGACAGGUAUUGACGCUGAGGUGCGAAAGCGUGGGAGCAGACAGG
This 252-nucleotide unclassified non-coding RNA is filed under the name uncultured Sphingomonadaceae bacterium. RNAcentral's name for it is "contains 16S-23S intergenic spacer region". It matches the Rfam family "Bacterial small subunit ribosomal RNA", at positions 524 to 776 of the family's 1533-position model. Lineage: Bacteria; Pseudomonadati; Pseudomonadota; Alphaproteobacteria; Sphingomonadales; Sphingomonadaceae. The record is from RNAcentral.